GCCGGGUAUGAUUCGGUGACGUCGUACGGUGCGUCGUUUCCAUCCGUCCCGGUCGGCUUCUCUCUCUCUCUCUCUCUCUCUCUAGAUCAGAUGGCCGAGCUCCGUUAAACCCUAGCCCCUGAACCCCUCCCGAUUCCUCCACCCACGUUCGAUCUCCGAUCGCCGCGCCUCGCCGUCCGACGCUCCUCCUCCUCCGCCGCCGCCGCCGCUCCGCCUCCUCCGCCGCCGCCGCUCCGCCGGUGAGUCCGGCUGCUCCGUCUACCCUCUUCUUCUUCUCCCCCAACGCCUGUCGGUAGUCCGUCUGAGCUCGCUUUAGCUGGUGUUCGGGACUGUCUGAGGUGGGUUAGGGAGGGCGACGCACGCCCUUUGCGUAGAUGGGCUCCGUGAAGAACGCCCGCUUGAAAAGAAGUAUACUUGAUGGGUUUUGAUUACGUGAUGCCGG
RNAcentral lists this long non-coding RNA (442 nucleotides) under Eucalyptus grandis. Its description in RNAcentral is "long non-coding RNA (EGRA_LNC007574)". The record is from RNAcentral. Lineage: Eukaryota; Viridiplantae; Streptophyta; Magnoliopsida; Myrtales; Myrtaceae.